UUCCCGCUAGUGCCAAUAAAAUAUUUUCUCUUUCUGAAAAAACCCUAGCGUCUCUCUCUAUCUCUAUAUCUAUCUCUCUGUGUCUCACACCGAGGCACCACCACCAUCAACCCACAUCCUCACACCAUCACCAAGCCCUCGCUCUCUGUUCCAACCCCCCUGCCGCAAGCUUCUCCCGCCGAACCUCUUGGCUGCCGCUGCUGCUCUCUCCUCUCUUCUCGGUCUCGCUUUUUCUGGCCGAUUCUCGGUCGAGGAGAAACCACAUCUCUCCGCCGGCCACCACAGUUCCAGUUCCGGUCAUCUUCUCCAGCCAAAAAUUUCAGGCCGAGUCUCUCUCUCUUGUUUUUCUCUCGGUUGAGUAACUUGAUUUGCAGCUCUGUUUCAUCAAUUUUUAGAGUGGCAGGAAGGCUAUUCUGAUUCUUGACAUGUCGUGUCGCUGAAACUUGCAAGCGUCGUCUAAAAUUCGUUGCUUUGAUUUGAAAGACGCAUUUGUUAAAGCACUUUCAAUUGCAUGGCCUAUCAAGUACAUCAAAAUUUAUGAUAGAAUAUCAAACAAUAAGAAGAGUUCAUGACAUUUCUCCAAUAUAAUUCGUGCUUUUCAGAGAUCUUAACUUGUUCAAAAAAGGACGCGGAGGGUCACGUGGCCUUGAAUAUAAAAUAAUAUAUAAAAAAAAUGGUGGCAGAAAACCUCGUAUUACCUUGAAUAUAAAAUAAUAUUAAAAAAAUGGUGGCAGAAAACCUCGUAUUACUUUUCAAUUCAAUGAGGGUCUGGUCAACAAUCUUUCCUUACUAGCUCAAUCGAUUUUGGCCUCGUAGACCUCUUCUAUGGGUGCUACUUGUCACUUAGUAAGGUUUUACAUUGAUUGCAAUCUAGCUCCCCUUUUGGAUUUUGAUUUCUUUUGGGAUUUUGAUGUGUAUGCACUUAGUAUUGUAUAAUAUCGGAUUCAGAUAUUAACAUUUUGAUAUGUGCUGGAAUUAUCAUUUUAGAUGAUUUGCACAUUUUAAUAUCUAAAUUCUUAAUGGAAUAUGUGUUUUAUCUUCUA
Molecule: long non-coding RNA, 1043 nt
Organism: Cornus florida
Lineage: Eukaryota; Viridiplantae; Streptophyta; Magnoliopsida; Cornales; Cornaceae
Exons: 6
Source: RefSeq, a predicted model, not a curated record